RNAcentral lists this long non-coding RNA (2021 nucleotides) under Citrus x clementina. Its description in RNAcentral is "Citrus clementina (C. clementina) long non-coding RNA (CCLE_LNC005869)". The record is from RNAcentral. Lineage: Eukaryota; Viridiplantae; Streptophyta; Magnoliopsida; Sapindales; Rutaceae.
CGCCAAGUUCGUCCAGCGGAAAAAGGCCACAAAAACGGGUGGGCUAUAGCCUUGGGGGGUGGGGCUGCCCAACUUUGUCCGCCGGACUCGGAAUGGACCGAGACUAUGUGAGGCACCUCCGUGUGCCAAAAAUAGGCCGCAGGCCCACGACGUCCAAAAAUAACCGACCGAAGGCCGGGGCGCCAAGUUCAUCCAGCGGAAAAAGGCCACAAAAACGGGUGUGUUAUAGCCUUGGGGGAUGGGGCUGGCCAACUUCGUCCGCCGGACUCGGAAUGGCACGAGACUUUGCGAGGGGCCUCCGUGUGCCAAAAAUAGGCAGCGGGCACAGUCGCGCCCAAAAAUAACCGCCCGAAGGCCGGUGCGCCAAGUUCGUCCAGCGGAAAAAUCCCACAAAAACGGGUGGGCUAUAGCCUUGGGGGGUGAGGAAGGCCAACUUCGUCCGCCGGACUCGGAAUGGUGCGAGACAUUGCGAGGCGCCUCCGUGUGCCAAAAAUAGGCCGCGGGCGCAGCCGCGCUGAAAAUAACCGCCCGAAGGCCGGGGCGCCCAGUUCGUCCAGCGGAAAAACCCCACAAAAACGGGUGGGCUAUAGCCUUGGGGGGUGGGGCUGACCAACUUCGUCCGCUGGACUCGGAUUGGCGCGAAACUUUGCGAGGCGACUCUGUGUGCCAAAAAUAGGCAGCGGGCACAGCCGCGUCCAAAAAUAACCUCCCGAAGGCCGGGGCGCCAAGUUCGUCAAGCGGAAAAAGCCCACAAAAACGGGUGGGCUAUAGCCUUGGGGGGUGGGGCUGGCCAUAUUCGUCCGCCGGACUCGGAAUGGCGCGAGACUUUGUGAGGCGCCUCCGUGUGCCAAAAAUAGGCAGCGGGCACAGUCGCGCCCAAAAAUAACCGCCCGAAGGCCGGUGCGCCAAGUUCGUCCAGCGGAAAAAUCCCACAAAAACGGGUGGGCUAUAGCCUUGGGGGGUGAGGAAGGCCAACUUCGUCCGCCGGACUCGGAAUGGCGUGAGACUUUGCGAGGUUCCUCCGUGUACCAAAAAAAGGCCGUGGGCACAGCCGCGCCCAAAAAUAACCGCCCGAAGGCCCGGGCGCCAAGUUCAUCCAGCGGAAAAAGGCCACAAAAACAGGUGGGCUAUAGCCUUGGGGGGUGGGGCUGGCCAACAUCCCCCGCCGGACUCGGAAUGGCGCGAGACUUUGCGAGGCACCUCCGUGUGCCAAAAACAGGCCGUGGGCACAGCCGCGUCCAAAAAUAACCGCCCGAAGGCCGGGGCGCCAAGUUCGUCCAGCGGAAAAAGGCCACAAAAAAGGGUGGGCUAUAGCCUUGGGGGGUGGGGCUGGCCAACUUCGUCCGCCGGACUCGGAAUGGCGCGAUACUUUUCAAGGCACCUCCAUGUGCUAAAAAUAGGCAGUGGGCACGGCCGCACCCAAAAAUAACCGCCGGAAGGCCGGGGCGCCAAGUUCGUCCAGCGGAAAAAGGCCACAAAAACGGGUGGGCUAUAGCUUUGGGGGGUGGGGCUGGCCAACUUCGUCCGCCGGACUCGGAAUGGCGCGAGAGUUUUCGAGGCACCUCCGUGUGCCAAAAAUAGGCCGCGGGCACAGCCGCGCCCAAAAAUAACCGCCCGAAGGCCGGGGCGCCAAGUUCGUCCUGCGGAAAAAGGCCACAAAAACGGGUGGGCUAUAGGCUUGGGGGGUGGGGCUGGCAAACUUCGUCCGCCGGACUCAGAAUGGUGCGAGACAUUGCAAGGCGCCUCCGUGUGCCAAAAAUAGGCCGCGGGCGCAGCCGCGCUGAAAAAUAACCGCCCGAAGGCCGGGGCGCCAAGUUCGUCCAGCGGAAAAAUCCCACAAAAACGGGUGGGCUAUAGCCUUGGGGGGUGAGGAAGGCCAACUUCGUCCGCCGGACUCGGAAUGGCGUGAGACUUUGCGAGGUUCCUCCGUGUACCAAAAAAAGGCCGUGGGCACAGCCACGCCCAAAAAUAACCGCCCGAAGGCCCGGGCGCCAAGUUCAUCCAACGGAAAAAGGCCACAA